This 703-nucleotide ribosomal RNA is filed under the name Stegomerus pygmaeus. Its description in RNAcentral is "partial large subunit ribosomal RNA". It matches the Rfam family "Eukaryotic large subunit ribosomal RNA", at positions 400 to 850 of the family's 3401-position model. The record is from RNAcentral. Lineage: Eukaryota; Metazoa; Arthropoda; Insecta; Coleoptera; Curculionidae.
UGAAACCGUUUAGGGGUAAACCUGAGAAACCCGAAAGGUCGAAGGAAGAAAUUCAUUCGCGUAUCGUUCGAUCGAAGCGGGCGGUUUAGUAGAGGAAAAAGUUUCGGCUUUUUUCACACUGGCCGUUCGUUGUUAAUCGAUUAGCGAACGCGUGCACUUUUCUUCUGGUAGGACGUCGCGAUCCGUCGAUCGUCGAUCUACGAUUCUUGGUGGAGCCCGUUUGCGACGUUUACGCGUACGCAAGCGGACCCAGGUAAUCUGGUCGACUUGUUCGACGGUAUACGAACGGUUGGGGGCCGCUCAUAUCGAGCGUUCGACUUGCGGCAAGCACGUCGGCUAUGUCGGCGAUCGGACCUAGUGCCGGUUCCGACUACCGAUGUCUGUUGGCUGUAAAGUUCUCGAACAGACCCCUUCAAUAUUUGAACCGAUCUGCGACGCUAUAGCUUUGGGUAAUUUCAGGACCCGUCUUGAAACACGGACCAAGGAGUCUAGCAUGUACGCGAGUCAUUGGGAAUUAUUAAACCUAAAGGCGUAAUGAAAGUGAAAGUUUUCCUUGCGGAAACUAAGGGAAGACGGGCGGUUAGCCGUUAAAAGUGGCCGUCCCGCAUUCCCGGGGCGUCUCAUUCUCAUCGCGAGAAGAGGCGCACCAAGAGCGUACACGCUGGGACCCGAAAGAUGGUGAACUAUGCCUGGUCAGGACGAA